GACGAACGCUGGCGGCGUGCCUAAUACAUGCAAGUAGAACGCUGAAGGAGGAGCUUGCUUCUCUGGAUGAGUUGCGAACGGGUGAGUAACGCGUAGGUAACCUGCCUGGUAGCGGGGGAUAACUAUUGGAAACGAUAGCUAAUACCGCAUAAGAGUAGAUGUUGCAUGACAUUUGCUUAAAAGGUGCAAUUGCAUCACUACCAGAUGGACCUGCGUUGUAUUAGCUAGUUGGUGGGGUAACGGCUCACCAAGGCGACGAUACAUAGCCGACCUGAGAGGGUGAUCGGCCACACUGGGACUGAGACACGGCCCAGACUCCUACGGGAGGCAGCAGUAGGGAAUCUUCGGCAAUGGACGGAAGUCUGACCGAGCAACGCCGCGUGAGUGAAGAAGGUUUUCGGAUCGUAAAGCUCUGUUGUAAGAGAAGAACGAGUGUGAGAGUGGAAAGUUCACACUGUGACGGUAUCUUACCAGAAAGGGACGGCUAACUACGUGCCAGCAGCCGCGGUAAUACGUAGGUGGCAAGCGUUAUCCGGAUUUAUUGGGCGUAAAGAGAGUGCAGGCGGUUUUCUAAGUCUGAUGUGAAAGCCUUCGGCUUAACCGGAGAAGUGCAUCGGAAACUGGAUAACUUGAGUGCAGAAGAGGGUAGUGGGAACUCCAUGUGUAGCGGUGGAAUGCGUAGAUAUAUGGAAGAACACCAGUGGCGAAGGCGGCUACCUGGUCUGCAACUGACGCUGAGACUCGAAAGCAUGGGUAGCGAACAG
This 764-nucleotide ribosomal RNA is filed under the name uncultured Streptococcus sp. RNAcentral describes it as "bacterial SSU rRNA". It matches the Rfam family "Bacterial small subunit ribosomal RNA", at positions 28 to 775 of the family's 1533-position model. Lineage: Bacteria; Bacillati; Bacillota; Bacilli; Lactobacillales; Streptococcaceae. The record is from RNAcentral.